This 832-nucleotide long non-coding RNA is filed under the name Nicotiana benthamiana. RNAcentral describes it as "long non-coding RNA (NBEN_LNC039405)". Lineage: Eukaryota; Viridiplantae; Streptophyta; Magnoliopsida; Solanales; Solanaceae. The record is from RNAcentral.
UCGAUGAGCUUCUCAUACAUUACAAUCACAGCACUUAAAGAGAGAGUACGGAUGAGAAAAGAAAGAAAAACAAAGCAAAAGGAAGAAAUAUGAACAUGGAAAUGGAGCUUUCAAUUAAUGAAACUUCAACAAUUACAAUAGUUUAAACCAACUCGAAUGAAACAACAAUUCAAAGCAUGAAACGAACAGCUACAAAAAAAAAAUAGGAAUUAACCAACUUGACUGAACCACUGCCGAAAUUUGAGCUCCAGAAACAAACUUGACCCCAACUUGAAUUUUCAAGUCAAGUUCUCUUGAGGAAAACAGAACAUCAAAAGAAAGAAGAAGGCACUAAGACAUCUGCGUUUAGUAAUUUUGUUGUUGAUUUUUUCUCUAGAUAAUUAAGUAAAAACUUGAAUAGAAAAUAAAUUCAAAUCAUUUUUUUAUUAUAUGUAUUCUGGAAAAUGAAAGAAGCAGACUGAAGAAGAUGAGAGCUCGAACAAAAAUGACGACUCCAAAACCCUAGAAAUUAUUAGGCUAAGUUGUUGAAGAUUUAUUUGAUUUUUCCUCUGAUGUUUUCUUCUUUUUUAUAACACGCUGAACUUAAUAUAUAUUUUUCAAAAAUUCUCGAAAAUCUGCUAAAAACUCCGAAAAUCUCUCAAGUUUUUGAACAAUUUUGGGACAAAUGAAGCGCGUGGAUUGAUUCACAUCUAUUUGCGGCUCCCAUUCAUCCAUCAAUUGCCAUUUUGCACUCGAAAUCAUGUGAUUUGGGAGAUAAAAACUCUCUGACAAAUCCGUUAGGAAUGAAAUGACACGGGGGGGAGGGGGGGGGGGGCAUUUUGAGGAACUCGGG